GACGAACGCUGGCGGCGUGCUUAACACAUGCAAGUCGAACGGAAAGGCCCUGCUUUUGUGGGGUGCUCGAGUGGCGAACGGGUGAGUAACACGUGAGUAACCUGCCCUUGACUUUGGGAUAACUUCAGGAAACUGGGGCUAAUACCGGAUAGGAGCUCCUGCUGCAUGGUGGGGGUUGGAAAGUUUCGGCGGUUGGGGAUGGACUCGCGGCUUAUCAGCUUGUUGGUGGGGUAGUGGCUUACCAAGGCUUUGACGGGUAGCCGGCCUGAGAGGGUGACCGGCCACAUUGGGACUGAGAUACGGCCCAGACUCCUACGGGAGGCAGCAGUGGGGAAUAUUGCACAAUGGGCGGAAGCCUGAUGCAGCAACGCCGCGUGCGGGAUGACGGCCUUCGGGUUGUAAACCGCUUUCGCCUGUGACGAAGCGUGAGUGACGGUAAUGGGUAAAGAAGCACCGGCUAACUACGUGCCAGCAGCCGCGGUGAUACGUAGGGUGCGAGCGUUGUCCGGAUUUAUUGGGCGUAAAGGGCUCGUAGGUGGUUGAUCGCGUCGGAAGUGUAAUCUUGGGGCUUAACCCUGAGCGUGCUUUCGAUACGGGUUGACUUGAGGAAGGUAGGGGAGAAUGGAAUUCCUGGUGGAGCGGUGGAAUGCGCAGAUAUCAGGAGGAACACCAGUGGCGAAGGCGGUUCUCUGGGCCUUUCCUGACGCUGAGGAGCGAAAGCGUGGGGAGCGAACAGGCUUAGAUACCCUGGUAGUCCACGCUGUAAACGGUGGGUACUAGGUGUGGGGUCCAUUCCACGGGUUCCGUGCCGUAGCUAACGCUUUAAGUACCCCGCCUGGGGAGUACGGCCGCAAGGCUAAAACUCAAAGGAAUUGACGGGGCCCCGCACAAGCGGCGGAGCAUGCGGAUUAAUUCGAUGCAACGCGUAGAACCUUACCUGGGUUUGACAUGGAUCGGGAGUGCUCAGAGAUGGGUGUGCCUCUUUUGGGGUCGGUUCACAGGUGGUGCAUGGCUGUCGUCAGCUCGUGUCGUGAGAUGUUGGGUUAAGUCCCGCAACGAGCGCAACCCUUGUUCACUGUUGCCAGCACGUUAUGGUGGGGACUCAGUGGAGACCGCCGGGGUCAACUCGGAGGAAGGUGGGGAUGACGUCAAGUCAUCAUGCCCCUUAUGUCCAGGGCUUCACGCAUGCUACAAUGGCUGGUACAGAGAGUGGCGAGCCUGUGAGGGUGAGCGAAUCUCGGAAAGCCGGUCUCAGUUCGGAUUGGGGUCUGCAACUCGACCUCGUGAAGUCGGAGUCGCUAGUAAUCGCAGAUCAGCAACGCUGCGGUGAAUACAUUCCCGGG
RNAcentral lists this ribosomal RNA (1343 nucleotides) under uncultured bacterium. RNAcentral's name for it is "16S ribosomal RNA". It matches the Rfam family "Bacterial small subunit ribosomal RNA", at positions 28 to 1378 of the family's 1533-position model. The record is from RNAcentral.